UACGAAGGGGGGCUAGCGUUGCUCGGAAUCACUGGGCGUAAAGGGUGCGUAGGCGGGUCUUUUAAGUCAGGGGUGAAAUCCUGGAGCUCAACUCCAGAACUGCCUUUGAUACUGAGGAUCUUGAGUUCGGGAGAGGUGAGUGGAACUGCGAGUGUAGAGGUGAAAUUCGUAGAUAUUGGGAAGAACACCGGUGGCGAAGGCGGCUAUCUGGACCGUAACUGACGCUGAGGCGCGAAAGCGUGGGGAGCAAACAGG
RNAcentral lists this ribosomal RNA (255 nucleotides) under uncultured bacterium. RNAcentral describes it as "partial 16S ribosomal RNA". It matches the Rfam family "Bacterial small subunit ribosomal RNA", at positions 524 to 776 of the family's 1533-position model. The record is from RNAcentral.